This is a non-coding RNA of Caenorhabditis elegans, 119 nucleotides long. NCBI's taxonomy places the organism in Eukaryota, Metazoa, Nematoda, Chromadorea, Rhabditida, Rhabditidae. The record is from Ensembl.
CACACAGACAAAAUAGUCUCAAGUGAGAGAGAGUGAGAGAGAAAGAAAGCGAGUAAGGGAUGAAAGAGAAUUGGCGUCCCAUGUUUUCUCUGACUCUCUCUAUCAUCAUCUCUCGCUCU